CAAUAGCGUAUAUUAAAGUUGUUGCGGUUAAAAAGCUCGUAGUUGGAUUUCUGCUGAGAACGACCGGUCCGCCCUUUGGGUGUGUAUCUGGCUCUUUCUUGGCAUCUUCUUGGUGAACGUUGCUGCACUUGACUGUGUGGAGCGCUACCCAGGACUUUUACUUUGAGGAAAUUAGAGUGUUUCAAGCAGGCAUACGCCUUGAAUACAUUAGCAUGGAAUAAUAAGAUAGGACCUCGGUUCUAUUUUGUUGGUUUCUAGAGCUGAGGUAAUGAUUAAUAGGGAUAGUUGGGGGCAUUCGUAUUUAACUGUCAGAGGUGAAAUUCUUGGAUUUGUUAAAGACGGCCUACUGCGAAAGCAUUUGCCAAGGAUGUUUUCAUUGA
Molecule: ribosomal RNA, 380 nt
Filed under: uncultured eukaryote
Lineage: Eukaryota
Description: partial 18S ribosomal RNA
Rfam family: Eukaryotic small subunit ribosomal RNA
Source: RNAcentral